GUGCCAGCCGCGGCGGUAAUUCCAGCUCCAAUAGCGUAUAUUAAAGUUGUUGCAGUUAAAAAGCUCGUAGUUGGAUUUCUGUUUUGAGCGUCCGGUCCGCCCGUAUGGGUGUGUUACUAGGAUGUUUGAGACAUUUUUUGUGAGGAUGUUCUUCUGCCAUUCAGUUGGUGGUUGAAUAGACUUGCAUCGUUUACUGUGAAAAAAUUAGAGUGUUUAAAGCAGGCGUUUGCUCAUUGAAUACAUUAGCAUGGAAUAAUAAGAUACGACCUUGGUGGUCUAUUUUGUUGGUUUGCACACCAGGGUAAUGAUUAAUAGGGACAGUUGGGGGUAUUCAUAUUUCAGCGUCAGAGGUGACAUUCUUGGAUCGCUGAAAGAUGAGCUUAGGCGAAAGCAUUUACCAAGGAUGUUUUCAUUAAUCAAGAACGAAAGUUAGGGGAUCGAAGAUGAUUAGAUACCAUCGUAGUCUUAACCAUAAACUAUGCCGACUCGGGAUUGGCAGUCGUUUUUCAAAUGGACCUUGUCAGACCGUAUGGAGAAAUCAAAGUCUUUGGGUUCC
This 556-nucleotide ribosomal RNA is filed under the name uncultured stramenopile. RNAcentral describes it as "SSU rRNA". It matches the Rfam family "Eukaryotic small subunit ribosomal RNA", at positions 564 to 1115 of the family's 1831-position model. The record is from RNAcentral.